This is a long non-coding RNA of Macadamia integrifolia, 1080 nucleotides long. RefSeq lists it as uncharacterized. The transcript is spliced from 2 exons. NCBI's taxonomy places the organism in Eukaryota, Viridiplantae, Streptophyta, Magnoliopsida, Proteales, Proteaceae. The record is from RefSeq and is a predicted model, not a curated record.
UUGGCGCUCCAACUAGCAUCCAACGAAUUCUCUAAGCUCGACACCUGUCCUCUUGUGAAUCCAACAAUCCACAUUAAUUCGACCCACAUACCUCCCACAUCUAAAUGAAACCACCUGAAGAAAGAAAUUAAACUUGAUCUGUAGUUCUAAACCCUCUCGGAGUCACGCCAAGUCCCAACGAUAUCUUUUCUUCUUCGUUUCUCAAUCUUUUAUUGAUUUGUUUUUUGUUGUUGAGCAACUCUCUGUCACAUCACAUGCUUCUCUCUCUCAUUGAAACUGAAGCUCUCUUCUUCUUUGCUUGAAUGUCAGUGAUCUCUGAGACGAAAUUGAAAAAUGUUCAGAAGAGUCCCCUUUGGGAAGAGGAAAACUGUAUCCAUCCCUGUGUACCUCAAUGUCUAUGAUCUCACUCCUAUUAAUGGCUACGCUUACUGGUUCGGCCUCGGCGUUUAACACUUCAGUGUACAUGUUAAUGAAGUAGAGAAUGAGGGAAAAAGAAGCAGAGUCGAUCGAAUGAGGAAAAUAGAGGGAGAGUCCGAGAGGGUUUAGAAGGAUGGAGGAGGCAUAUGGAUUAAAUUAACGUGGAUUGUUGGAUUUUGAGGACGAGUGUUGAACUUGGAGAAUUCGUUGGACGCUAGAUGGAGCGUCAAUCUUUGUAGACAAGCCCCAUCCAAGGUUGACACGUGAUCCAUGAUAAAAUAGGUGAUGGCUCUAAUGGAGAUCAUGGGAGUAGGUAUGGUACAUUAAUUAAGUGAGCGGAGAUUGAAGUAACUAUCCAGAGUUUGUCUUGGAAAUACAAAAGCAUUUUUGGGCAAAUGAAGAGGCAAUCAACCACACAUGCAAACAACCGCAUCAAUGUGCAUUCUCCAUUAUCUUUUGUGUUUCUCAAGUAGUAACUCUUUGUAUUCCCAAGUUGGGAUUAGCAAUUAGUUUAGCUUUCCUUUUUCAAGUAGAGUAUUUUCUUUUGUAUUCUGAAAUCUGGAUUAGGAUUAUCGGUGAAUUCGUCCAUCCUUUGACUAUUGUGUUAUAGUGGAUUUUAUAUUUUAAUGAAGAUUAUCCAGGCAACUUGCUUGGAGCAAUCAA